This 18-nucleotide microRNA is filed under the name Gadus morhua (Atlantic cod). RNAcentral describes it as "gmo-miR-23a-5p". Its record names the gene gmo-miR-23a-5p. Lineage: Eukaryota; Metazoa; Chordata; Actinopteri; Gadiformes; Gadidae. The record is from miRBase by way of RNAcentral.
GGAUUCCUGGCAGAGUGA